Molecule: ribosomal RNA, 415 nt
Filed under: uncultured prokaryote
Description: bacterial SSU rRNA
Rfam family: Bacterial small subunit ribosomal RNA
Source: RNAcentral
GUGCCAGCAGCCGCGGUAAUACGUAGGUGGCAAGCGUUGUCCGGAAUUAUUGGGCGUAAAGCGCGCGCAGGCGGUCUCUUAAGUCUGAUGUGAAAGCCCACGGCUCAACCGUGGAGGGUCAUUGGAAACUGGGGGACUUGAGUGCAGAAGAGGAAAGUGGAAUUCCACGUGUAGCGGUGAAAUGCGUAGAUAUGUGGAGGAACACCAGUGGCGAAGGCGACUUUCUGGUCUGUAACUGACGCUGAGGCGCGAAAGCGUGGGGAGCAAACAGGAUUAGAUACCCUGGUAGUCCACGCCGUAAACGAUGAGUGCUAAGUGUUAGAGGGUUUCCGCCCUUUAGUGCUGCAGCUAACGCAUUAAGCACUCCGCCUGGGGAGUACGGUCGCAAGACUGAAACUUAAAUGAAUUGACGGGG